This is a long non-coding RNA of Pongo pygmaeus (Bornean orangutan), 5147 nucleotides long. RefSeq lists it as uncharacterized. The transcript has 10 exons. The record is from RefSeq and is a predicted model, not a curated record. Lineage: Eukaryota; Metazoa; Chordata; Mammalia; Primates; Hominidae.
UAUAGUGUGAUAAGGGUGCAUCAUUUAUGAUGAUUUUUGUUAAAAUUAAAAAAAAGACACCCUCAGUCAAUGAACUGGUGCCUAUAUCUGUCUCUCACCACCUCCAGAUCUUUAACUUGGAUGAUAUAAGUGACCUCCAGGAAAAGUUAGUGCCCUUCACCCUACUUCCCUGUGGCCCCCACAGCCUAGAGCCCAGGGCUCAGUAUUCAGAGAGGCUUAGGGGAGGUUCUGGCAAAAGCUGAAGGAGCUGCAAGCUAUUCAACACCACCAAGUUGAGACAGUGGAGGAACAACAAGUAUGUAAGAAAUGCAACAGUGCCUGAUCAUACAGCAGUCUUCUGGAUAUAAACAUGGCUACUGCUUUAUUUCUGCUUUUUAAAUCUCACAGAAAUGUUGCAUGUGGCCAGCCCUAAUCUGAAACCAUACAAGGAAGGGAAUUUUGGGAAAUGUAGCUCCAGCUUAGCUAAAUUGAUGUAAUACUAGGUUACCACACUGCCCCAUCUCUCUGACAUUGCCCACCACUCCAAUCACACCAACAUGUUUCUGUUCUUGGAAUUUCCACCUCAGAGCCUUUGUACUUGGUACUUCUUCUUCUGCAAGUGUUAUUUCCCUAGAUAUCUCAUUACAUAGCUUUUUCUUAUCAUUCACUUUUCCACCUUCAUAUCACCUCUUUCCCCUAUAUAAAGUAUUUCUUGCUCCUCAUUGCUCUCCGAAGUGAACACUUUUAGUGGCUUGGCCAGCAUCAAUUCCUUCCCUCUCUUCUUACUAAUAGUAGGCAGAUCUUUUUUUCAGGAACCCUUUCCCAUGCAGCCCCUCUCUCCCUGCUCUGGUGCCUGAGUCGGUCUCUCACCACAUCCAGGUCCCCAGCUGGCUAAAUGAAUCAGAAGAUUUUAUUCCUGGCCUCAGUCAUUGAUACAGGCAUGAACACAAGACAUAAGCUAAUGAAUCCAGUCCCUUUUACUAGAAUGCUCUGAUGGAAGCCUUGCUGAACAUGAACUAAGAUGCAUUGGACCCUGACUGCUGACAAACAUCUUCCAACCCUGAGAACAUCAGCUCUAAGAUGAAGUCACCAUUUAUGGACUGAAGGAUAGAAAAGAGACACAUUAGGUUAGCUGCUCUGCUGGCUCAACUUGGUGGUGUGGGACAGCUUGCAGCUCCUUUAGCUCCUGCCAGAAUCUUUCCUAAGCCUCUCUGAAUACUGUGCUGUGUGUGUGUUUGUGUACAUGUUCAUGUGUAUGUGUAUGUGGUGAAAGGCACUAGAUUUUCCUGCAGGUCACAAAUAUAAUCCAAGCUGAAAGCUUAGAGGUGGUGAGAGAGAGAUGCAUGUACCAGUUAAUCUGUUGGCAUUCAGCUUGUUCUUUGGGUUCCAGCUUGUUCUUUGGGGUUCCUGUUAGUUCCUGCUCUCCUCCAGUUGUCUUUUCUUCCAGAUUACCUGUUUUGCUAACUCCGGCUGGGCACCAAAUGUACAGGAAACAACCUUAUAUAGACUGUUUACCUUCUAUAAUUGCCUAAGGUCAAACUCCUAUAAUAAAUCUUGAUCAAACAUAAACUAACACAGAAUUUAGUACAGGAAGUAGUUCUAGAGGAAUGGAAGCUUAAGGAAGAGUUCUUUGAGUGAGUUCUAAGUUCUCUGAGUUGGUUCUGGAUUCUCUGAAAUCAGUUCUCUCUUCAGAUUAGAUUUACAGGCAUGAUAAUCCUGUUUCCAGUGGUAAAGGACACACUGUUAGUUCAUAACAUGCAGAGGUAAAACACUUAACUUACAUCACCAUCUGUAGACACCUGUAAUUUAAUGCCUAUAGAAGACAAGUCCUUAGGUGACUCACCAUUCCCUGCCAUAGAACAUUUAAAUGAAAACAAGGAGUGUAAUGGGAUUGGGUAGUUGAUUCUACAAGUAGAAAGAAAAUGAUGAGCUCAGGGCUUCAAGUUCCUAGAAACUUCUAUAACUGUUCUAAAAACACACUUAUCUCCUAUAGCUGCAGGACUGAUUUCUGAAAAGAAAACCUAAAGUCUGAGCUCAGGAGGGGCUGAUUGACAGGAUAAUUUGGGUUUCUAAUUUCUCUAUGUCUUUUGUAUUAAUUUUAGGACAUUGAUUGGAAAGGAGUGGUACCCUGAAAAUUAGGAUAAGGAAAUAUGAGUUCGUUUUGAUGAAACUGAAGAUCUCCAACUUCUAAAUUAUGCUGCAUUUUUCUUGCCAGUAGGAGCAACCCUUCUUCUCCUACCUGAGAAUAUUAGAUUCUCUCCUGCCUCUACUGAUGUAUUUGCAAGGGACUGAUUAUCCUCAUCAGGAGCUUCUCCCAAAUACCUGCCAUCGCUUCUAGACCUAUUACUAAACUGAAGUUGCAAGCUCCAGGGAGCAAGCUCACUAUCUUCUUGAUCAGAAAUUUGGAAAUUUGGGUGAUAUAACUGUUUCCUGUGGCAUUAAUGGAGGUCUCUUGGUGGUAUUCAGCUGGCAGAUGGACUGAUCUGCAGACCCCAAGAUGGCUUUACUUAGAUGUCUGCCACUUUGAUGGACAUGGCUAGAAGACUGACCUUAGCAACUCAAGGGAAAUGGGUAGUCUUUCCUUUGGAGAAGAACAAAAAGCUGGACAAACAGACAAAAAAACAACAAAAAUACUGGACAACUAAAGAUUUCUCAAAUCUUGCUCCACAGGAUACUGAUGUUCCUCUAAAUGUUAGUAGUCUACAGGAUAUCAGAAUUCUUAGAAAAACUUGGAAAUCAUGUCCAGGACUAUACAGGACUUUACAAGCUUUAUCUUCCCAAACUGAAAACCAAGUCUAGCUGCUCUCCUCCAGGUGCUGCAUAAAUGCAUUUUUUUGGGCUAUGUUUCUAGUUCUCCAGGACCCAGUCUUUGGCUACCUUACUUCAGAUCACUUGGUUGAAACAGUUCCCUCAGUCAACUUGUCCACUGGACUUAAGCUGUGGGACACAGAAAUUUUCCCUGGAAGAACAGAACAAUGAAGAUGAAUAGUUGAAAAAUGAGAGUGAUCCUGGCUGUUGGUAGGAGUAUGAGACACCCCUCCACAUUAGCAAACCCUAGAUUCUAAAUCCAUCAGCCUAAGUUGUUGGCUAUACAAGCAUGAUGACAGUACCUGCUUGGCUUCUGGUGAGCUUUUACUCAUGGCAGAGAGCAAAGUGGAAACAGGCACUUCUGCAAGUCUCAGAGUCUAAAGGCUGAAAAACCUGGAGUCUGAUGUCCAAGGGCAGGAGGAGACGAAGCAAGCAACUGACAUGGAAAGAAAGAGGGAGCCAGAAGACUCAGCAAGCAAGCCUACCCCCAUGCCUUCUUCCACCUGGGUCUUCCUCUUCCAGUCCACUGACCCAAAUGUGAAUUUCCUUUGGCAACAUCCUAACAGACACACCCCGAAACAAUACUUUACCAGCCAUCUAGGAAUCCUUUAAUCCAGUCAAGAUGACAACUAAUGUUAACCAUCACAGCAUUUUCUAAAGAGAAUCCUGCAUUCUAAAGGAUCUAGUCUGGAUGCCAGAAGCUGUGUAUAGGAUGAGAGCCUGGUGGACCUGAUUCACCUCCUGUUGUUCAGUUCAGUUCAGAGACUGAAAAUCAGGAUUUGUGCUGGAGAGUCUUUGAACUGUGUGAAAGUAUCUGAAGGUCCAUGACAAUUUGAAAGGUUAACAGUAAUGGACUUUCAUAGAUCUAUAGUAUUUGCUCUUGACCUUGGCUGAAAUUGUAAAACAGGCGGCCACAUCUCCGUUUGAGCACACAAUGAAAUGAGUUGAUAUUGACUGUUGGGAACCAGAGUUCUCAGUGGAUGAAGAGACACAGAAAAGUAAAAUGGAGGAAGGCAAAGAAGAUCUCCGAAGAGACGGAUUGGAAUUGGAAGCAUUAGUAUGAACCAUGAUUCUAAAAUUGUUAUAUAUUAAUGUCUAUGCUUGUAUAUAUCCAGAAGUUUAUGUAUGUAUGUUUAAAUGUGUGUGUAAUAUAUAUGUAUACAUAUAUGUACACAUGUAUAUAUUUCCUAGCUUUGUCUACUGAAAGGGUCCACAAGCAAAGAUCUUGUAGUGGAUCUUGGUCUCUAAGAUUGUUCCCUGUUAAAAAAAAACAAAACAAAACAGGAUCUGUUGGAGAAAUUGCUGAUUCCAGUGCUGUAGCAGAAAAGGUAAUACAUGAUCCUAAAAUCAGUAAUCUCAUUCUGUUAGAUUACUGUGGGGUUCAAUAUGGUAGCCACUAGUCUCUUGUGCUAUUUAUUUAUUUAUUUUUAUUAUUAUACUUUAAGUUCUAGUGUGCAUGUGCACAACGUGCAGGUUUGUUGCAUAUGUAUACAUCUGCCAUGUUGGUGUGCUGCACCCAUUAACUCGCCAUUUACAUUAGGUAUAUCUCCUAAUGCUAUCCCUCCUCCCUCCCCCCACCCCAUGACAGGCACCAGUAUGUGAUGAUCCCCAUCCUGUGUCCAAGUGUUUUCAUUGUUCAAUUCCUACCUGUGAGUGAGAACAUGCAGUGUUUGGUUUUCUGUCCUUGCGAAAGUUUGCUCAGAAUGAUGGUUUCCAGUUUCAUCCAUGUCCCUACAGAGGACAUGAACUCAUCCUUUUUUAUGGCUGCAUAGUAUUCCAUGAUGUAUAUGUGCCACAUUUUCUUAAUCCAGUCUAUCACUGAUGGACAUUCGGGUUGGUUCCAAGUCUUUGCUAUUGUGAAUAGUGCCACAAUAAACAUAUGUGUGCAUGUGUCUUUAUAGCAGCAUGAUUUAUAAUCCUUUGGGUAUAUACCCAGUAAUGGAAUGGCUGGGUCAAAUGGUGUUUCUAGUUCUAGAUGCUUGAGGAAUUGUCACACUGUCUUCCACAAUGGUUGAACUAGUUUACAGUCUCACCAACAGUGAAAAAGUGUUCCUGUUUCUCCACAUCCUCUCCAGCACCUGUUGUUUCCUGACUUUUUAAUGACCGCCAUUCUAACUGAGGUGGUAUCUCAUUGUGGUUUUGAUUUGCAUUUCUCUGAUGGCCAGUGAUAAUGAGCAUUUUUUCAUGUGUAUGUUGGCUGCAUAACUGUCUUCUUUUGAGAAGUGUCUGUUCUUAUCCUUUGCCCACUUUUUGAUGGGGUUGUUUUUUUCUUGUAAAUUUGUUUAAGUUCUUUGUAGAUUCCGGAUAUUAGCCCUUUGUCAGAUGGGUAGAUUGCAAAAAUUUUCUCCCAUUCUGUAGGU